GGGCAGGCUGCUUUAACACGAAGAACACUGAAUAAUAACUGUGUUUACAUAUCUGCAACAUCAUCUACAAUAUUCAUAACAUCACAGUGUAUGGAUAACAAUUUAAGGUCUGACUGGUGUUUACAAAGGCAGGCUGAAGCUGAGUGGAGCUAGGCCAGGGAUGACGUGAUGUCAUAAAACUCUAUGAACCAAUAGGAAUGAUGGGUCCGUCGUGCCCAGGUACUACUGAAGCUUCCCCACAGCGCAGCAUCAGACUGAAGAAGUACAAGAAAUCAUGCUUCACUCUCAAUCUUUAAUUUUGUCAAUAAAUCAUUUAUCUUGUUGAUGGUGUGGUCCAUGCUAGUGAAUAUUAGUGUGUCUAAUAAUCUCCUGUGUUUUUGUUACCUUAGAAUGAACCUUUUAUACUACUCUGAGAGUAAGUCCUCUUCCAUGGAGUCCGCCAUGAAAUCCCAGAAUGGACAAACCACACACUGGUGCUGUGUCUCAACUUGGAUCCUUCCAUUAAUGUACUUUUAUAUCUUACCCUAGUGUGCUAACAUCAUCAGGGUAGUGUUGUCUUAAUUUGAGUACGGCCAUUGUGCACUUACCAGAAAUAAUUAUUGCAACAAUUUACCACUGCUUCUUUUUAUUGUCAGAUUGCAACAUUUGACCACAAAAAUAUAAACAUAAAACAUAUGUAACUGCUUUAUCUCAGCAGUUUCCUCAUAAUGCCAGUGGUCACUCCCCAUCCACUACAUAGUCAAAAUGGCGACUACUGAAAAUGUCCAGCAUUCGACUUUGUGUACCAUCCAGAUACUCUGGACACUGACUUUUGACAUAAGUGACAGUAUGAACACACUUAUGAACUCAAAAGAGUAAGUGUAAGUGUGGAAGCAUGGGUUCACAGAGACAGACCCUUUUGCCUUUUUUCAUGCAGUUUCAAGGCCACUGUAGGUUCUCCCUCAUGUUAGGAAGGUGAGAAGUAUUUAUCUGGCUGUAAUUUGCAACCUCACCACUAGUUAUGACUAAAUAUUACACACUGCACCUUUUUAUUUGUUUAUUUUGUUAAUAAAAAAACAGACUUUGUUGAAGAAAAAUGUUGAAUGUAUUGUUGAACUGUAAAUUAAAC
This is a long non-coding RNA of Larimichthys crocea (large yellow croaker), 1108 nucleotides long. RefSeq lists it as uncharacterized. Lineage: Eukaryota; Metazoa; Chordata; Actinopteri; Sciaenidae. The record is from RefSeq and is a predicted model, not a curated record. The transcript has 3 exons.